This is a non-coding RNA of Cnuella takakiae, 166 nucleotides long. The record is from Rfam. NCBI's taxonomy places the organism in Bacteria, Pseudomonadati, Bacteroidota, Chitinophagia, Chitinophagales, Chitinophagaceae.
UAAGAUGCGAUUUCUGCACUGAAGUAAGCGGGAUUGAGAAUGCCUGUACCGACGAACAGGAACUGCAUAGAAGGCCUGCAAAAAACGGAUGAGUAAGCACAUCGAUACGAAGUCCUGAAUGACUAGUUUUUUGCAGGUAGAUGCAGCGGGCAUAAUAGCCGCCGGC